GACGAACGCUGGCGGCGUGCUUAACACAUGCAAGUCGAACGGAAAGGCCCAGCUUGCUGGGUGCUCGAGUGGCGAACGGGUGAGUAACACGUGGGUGAUCUGCCUCUAACUUCGGGAUAAGCUUGGGAAACUGGGUCUAAUACCGGAUAGGACAAUCGUUUAGUGUCGGUUGUGGAAAGUUUUUUCGGUUAGGGAUGAGCCCGCGGCCUAUCAGCUUGUUGGUGGGGUAAUGGCCUACCAAGGCGUCGACGGGUAGCCGGCCUGAGAGGGUGGACGGCCACAUUGGGGCUGAGAUACGGCCCAGACUCCUACGGGAGGCAGCAGUGGGGAAUAUUGCACAAUGGGCGCAAGCCUGAUGCAGCGACGCCGCGUGGGGGAUGACGGCCUUCGGGUUGUAAACCUCUUUCGACAGGGACGAAGCUUUGGUGACGGUACCUGUAUAAGAAGCACCGGCUAACUACGUG
This 464-nucleotide ribosomal RNA is filed under the name uncultured bacterium. RNAcentral describes it as "partial 16S ribosomal RNA". It matches the Rfam family "Bacterial small subunit ribosomal RNA", at positions 28 to 507 of the family's 1533-position model. The record is from RNAcentral.